This 271-nucleotide ribosomal RNA is filed under the name uncultured prokaryote. Its description in RNAcentral is "partial 16S ribosomal RNA". It matches the Rfam family "Bacterial small subunit ribosomal RNA", at positions 524 to 794 of the family's 1533-position model. The record is from RNAcentral.
UACGUAGGUGGCGAGCGUUGUCCGGAUUUACUGGGCGUAAAGGGAGCGUAGGCGGACUUUUAAGUGAGAUGUGAAAUACCCGGGCUCAACUUGGGUGCUGCAUUUCAAACUGGAAGUCUAGAGUGCAGGAGAGGAGAAUGGAAUUCCUAGUGUAGCGGUGAAAUGCGUAGAGAUUAGGAGGAACACCAGUAGCGAAGGCGGCUCUCUGGACUGUAACUGACGCUGAGGCACGAAAGCGUGGGGAGCAAACAGGAUUAGAUACCCGGGUAGU